AGUGGCGGACGGGUGAGUAACGCGUGGGUAACCUGCCUCAUACAGGGGGAUAACAGUUAGAAAUGACUGCUAAUACCGCAUAAGACCACAGCACCGCAUGGUGCAGGGGUAAAAACUCCGGUGGUAUGAGAUGGACCCGCGUCUGAUUAGGUAGUUGGUGGGGUAACGGCCUACCAAGCCGACGAUCAGUAGCCGACCUGAGAGGGUGACCGGCCACAUUGGGACUGAGACACGGCCCGA
Molecule: ribosomal RNA, 240 nt
Filed under: uncultured bacterium
Lineage: Bacteria
Description: partial 16S ribosomal RNA
Rfam family: Bacterial small subunit ribosomal RNA
Source: RNAcentral